Molecule: ribosomal RNA, 468 nt
Filed under: uncultured bacterium
Lineage: Bacteria
Description: partial 16S ribosomal RNA
Rfam family: Bacterial small subunit ribosomal RNA
Source: RNAcentral
GACGAACGCUGGCGGCGUGCUUAACACAUGCAAGUCGAACGGAAAGGCCCUGCUUUUGUGGGGUGCUCGAGUGGCGAACGGGUGAGUAACACGUGAGUAACCUACCCUUGACUUUGGGAUAACUUCAGGAAACUGGGGCUAAUACCGGAUAGGAGCUCCUGCUGCAUGGUGGGGGUUGGAAAGUUUCGGCGGGUGGGGAUGGACUCGCGGCUUAUCAGCUUGUUGGUGGGGUAGUGGCUUACCAAGGCUGUGACGGGUAGCCGGCCUGAGAGGGUGGCCGGCCACAUUGGGACUGAGACACGGCCCAGACUCCUACGGGAGGCAGCAGUGGGGAAUAUUGCACAAUGGGCGGAAGCCUGAUGCAGCAACGCCGCGUGCGGGAUGACGGCCUUCGGGUUGUAAACCCCUUUCGCCAGUGACGAAGGGUGAGUGACGGUAGUUGGUAAAGAAGCACCGGCUAACUACGUG